RNAcentral lists this ribosomal RNA (252 nucleotides) under Triticum aestivum (bread wheat). RNAcentral's name for it is "partial small subunit ribosomal RNA". The record is from RNAcentral. Lineage: Eukaryota; Viridiplantae; Streptophyta; Magnoliopsida; Poales; Poaceae.
CGCGAUAAAAAUAGUACUAUUGCGCACGUGCUCAGUUCGUCUCCGCCAAAUAUUUCGUUCAGGCGGGACUUGAUUGACCCUCAACUUAUGUCAUGGCAUAAUCUUUUAUCCCGACUGGAUUCGAUUAACCUGACACACGGCAGGGAUGUUUUUCGCUGGAACCUUACUACAUCGGGGUCUUUCACAGUAGACUCUAUGUAUCAUGCGCUAAUAUAUUCUGAGGUACCAAUGAGUAAUAACAAGAAAAUUUGA